GUUUGAUCAUGGCUCAGAACGAACGCUGGCGGCAGGCCUAACACAUGCAAGUCGAAGGAGAAGCCAUCUUCGGAUGGUGGAAACUGGCGCACGGGUGAGUAACGCGUGGGUAUCUACCUCGAGGGUGGGGAAUAACCGCUGGAAACGGACGGCUAAUACCGCAUACGCCUUAAGAGGGAAAGCUCCGGCGCCCUGAGAGGAGCCCGCGUUGGAUUAGCUUGUUAGGUGGGGUAAUGGCCUACCAAGGCUACGAUCUAUAGCUGGUCUGAGAGGAUGAUCAGCCACACUGGGACUGAGACACGGCCCAGACUCCUACGGCGAGGCAUGCAGUGGGGAAUAUUCGGACAAAUGGGCGCAAGACCUGAUCCAGCCAUGCCGCGUGAGUGAAGAAGAGCCUUAGAGGUUGUAAAGCUCUUACACACUGACGAAGAUGAUGACGGUACAGCAGGAGAAGGAAGCCCCGGCUAACUCACGUGACCAGCAGCC
This 486-nucleotide ribosomal RNA is filed under the name uncultured Alphaproteobacteria bacterium. Its description in RNAcentral is "bacterial SSU rRNA". It matches the Rfam family "Bacterial small subunit ribosomal RNA", at positions 11 to 516 of the family's 1533-position model. The record is from RNAcentral. Lineage: Bacteria; Pseudomonadati; Pseudomonadota; Alphaproteobacteria.